RNAcentral lists this small RNA (106 nucleotides) under Marmota monax (woodchuck). Lineage: Eukaryota; Metazoa; Chordata; Mammalia; Rodentia; Sciuridae. The record is from RNAcentral.
GCCGGGCACAGUGGGCACGCCUGUAAUCCCAUUGGCUUGGGAGGCUGAGACCGGAGGACUGCGAGUUCAAAUCCAGCCUCAGCAAUUUAGCGAGACCCUGUCUCUA